Molecule: unclassified non-coding RNA, 378 nt
Filed under: plant metagenome
Description: partial contains 5.8S ribosomal RNA, internal transcribed spacer 2, and large subunit ribosomal RNA
Rfam family: 5.8S ribosomal RNA (bases 1-105)
Source: RNAcentral
GAAAUGCGAAAAGUAGUGUGAAUUGCAGAAUUCAGUGAAUCAUCGAAUCUUUGAACGCACAUUGCGCCCCUUGGUAUUCCAUGGGGCAUGCCUGUUUGAGUAUCAUGAAAUCUUCAAAGUAAAUCUUUUGUUAACUCAAUUGGUUUCUACUUUGGUAUUGGAGGUCUUUGCAGCUUCACACCUGCUCCUCUUUGUUCAUUAGCUGGAUCUCAGUGUUAUGCUUGGUUCCACUCGGCGUGAUAAGUUAUCUAUCGCUGAGGACACUGUAAAAGGUGGCCAAGGUAAAUGCAGAUGAACCGCUUCUAAUAGUCCAUUGACUUGGACAAUACUUUUAUGAUCUGAUCUCAAAUCAGGUAGGACUACCCGCUGAACUUAAGC